GCGGACCGCUAUGGCUCGGCACCGGUGGUCGCGUUCGGCGCGACGACGUUUGCCGCGGGCCUGGGCGUUGCGGCGGUCGCGCCGUCGGGUCCGCU
This 95-nucleotide transfer RNA is filed under the name Paraburkholderia nemoris. RNAcentral's name for it is "Paraburkholderia sp. LMG 31836 tRNA-Arg". Lineage: Bacteria; Pseudomonadati; Pseudomonadota; Betaproteobacteria; Burkholderiales; Burkholderiaceae. The record is from RNAcentral.